Molecule: ribosomal RNA, 467 nt
Filed under: uncultured bacterium
Lineage: Bacteria
Description: partial 16S ribosomal RNA
Rfam family: Bacterial small subunit ribosomal RNA
Source: RNAcentral
GAUGAACGCUGGCGGCGUGCUUAACACAUGCGAGUCGAGCGGAAAGGCCCAAGCUUGCUUGGGUACUCGAGUGGCGAACGGGUGAGUAACACGUGGGUGAUCUGCCCUGCACUUCGGGAUAAGCCUGGGAAACUGGGUCUAAUACCGGAUAGGACCACAUUUUGGAUGGUGUGGUGGAAAGUUUUUCGGUGUGGGAUGAGCUCGCGGCCUAUCAGCUUGUUGGUGGGGUAAUGGCCUACCAAGGCGUCGACGGGUAGCCGGCCUGAGAGGGUGUACGGCCACAUUGGGACUGAGAUACGGCCCAGACUCCUACGGGAGGCAGCAGUGGGGAAUAUUGCACAAUGGGCGCAAGCCUGAUGCAGCGACGCCGCGUGGGGGAUGACGGCCUUCGGGUUGUAAACUCCUUUCGCUAGGGACGAAGCGUUUUUGUGACGGUACCUGGAGAAGAAGCACCGGCUAACUACGUG